This is a non-coding RNA of Pseudomonas syringae, 120 nucleotides long. NCBI's taxonomy places the organism in Bacteria, Pseudomonadati, Pseudomonadota, Gammaproteobacteria, Pseudomonadales, Pseudomonadaceae. The record is from Rfam.
CGCACCGUCCUAGGGGAGUAGUCUCCCACGAGCGCCAUGCUCGUCCGGUACGCAUCAACAUACUUGGUCCUCAGACCAUGGUGCGUACGACCCCGAAUCCGCUCAGACGGAUCGGUGGUU